Molecule: long non-coding RNA, 1555 nt
Organism: Lathyrus oleraceus (garden pea)
Lineage: Eukaryota; Viridiplantae; Streptophyta; Magnoliopsida; Fabales; Fabaceae
Exons: 3
Source: RefSeq, a predicted model, not a curated record
AUGGACUCGAUAACCAUUCUCUUCCUCAUCGUCGCGUUCUUCCAACCAUUUCCCGUGGCCGUGUUUGCGAACUCCACUGACGCUCUGAAACGGCGUCCCGCUAUUGCGCUCGCGGACUCCUAUAAGCCAUCGCACUGUGUUCGCGUCAUUCUAAGUGUUCCAUCGAGUGUUGUUAGAGAUUGGACCGUACGAUUGACAAACGAGGAUAGAGACAAUGCGGAAUCGGUGCUCGAUUUAAUAGUCAAAAGCAUAACAGCAGAAAAUGUACCAUGAUCUAAACGCGGUGUUUCUUCAGAAUCGAUCUCACAUGUAACGUUUUUCACUCUUUCAAAAUCUUCUAGUUGCCUUUACCUCUUCUCGCUUCUGCCGCUUCUGCCGCUUCUGUGCUUCUUUUGGAUUUCGAUUUCUUCUUAUCCUGCGAUGUGAGUUGCGAAUCGAUGUGUAUUCGUUGCUCCUGCGUUUCUUUUGAUUCUUCUGUUCUUAUUCAAUCUUCUGUCAUGAUUGUGCGGGAACGAUUGGUGGUUUACGUUCCGAAAUGACAGAGAUUCUUGAUGGAGGCUGAAAGCUCCACUGUGCAGAGCUUCAAAUGUUGAAGCUCUCACAGUGAUGGACGGAGCGUAUGGUGGGGAUCAAGAGGGAUUCUCAUAGAGAAAUGGAAGAUGAAGGAGAAUUGAGUUGAACUGUGACUGCUAAACCAGAAAAAAUGGUCUGCAUGCUGAAUGGAGUGGAAAUUAGCCGAACCAGUUAGUUCAACCUUGGAUUUAUACUUCUAUUAAUAGGUUUAGUUAUGGAAGGGUCAUUGUUGCAGGGUGUUACACUGCGGAAUGUUGGAUUGUAGGUAUGCAGUUGGUGGUUUGCUAAGACAGUUUUCCGGUUAGACCGCUGCGGCGGUGGAGUCCCAGUAAUUUAUUAAUAAAUUCUGAAAUUCUUUUGUUAAAAGAAAGUAGGAUGAUUCUAUGUAUGCUAGGCUACAAAGGAGCUUGGGUUAUGUGAGCCAAAAUUCUGCAGCUUGUGAAUUUAUUUUCUACCGUGUGAAUUUACAAGAAGUUAACCUUGUAUGGAAGGAGAACGGAAUGCUUUCCUGAAAUUCAAAGCUAUGCUUGUAUUUGUGAAUAAAUAAUUGAUGAUUGAGUUGGUGUAAUUCCGUUAUUGAUUUCGGUUGGUGUUAAAUUCUGCAGGUGGAGUAUUGUUAAGAUGUAGUAGGGAUGCGUUGGACGUGAUGCAAAAUGAGUGACUUGCUGGUUAAUUAGUACUGAACUGUAUGGAAUUUGUGGGCGUCAUUAUCUCCCUGCUAAGCUUCUACCAUGGAUUCGUGCGUAGGAAAUUGGAUUCUGAAUGUAAAAUUGAGCCCUUUGGCAUGCAUUUAUGAGGAGUGAGGAGUAAGAAUGGCACAUGUUCAUGAAUGAAUAUUGGGUGAAUUUUAUAAAGUGAGAAACUUCUAUGAAAAGUAUAUGAUGGCAGAUUUCCAUGUAUUGAAUGAAUAUUGCAACGCAUGCUUGAAAAUUUCAUUUGAAUGCAAUGUACCAAAGGAUAGAAAAAAAUGGUGAUUCUUGAA